RNAcentral lists this ribosomal RNA (253 nucleotides) under uncultured bacterium. RNAcentral's name for it is "partial 16S ribosomal RNA". It matches the Rfam family "Bacterial small subunit ribosomal RNA", at positions 524 to 776 of the family's 1533-position model. The record is from RNAcentral.
UACAGAGGUCUCAAGCGUUGUUCGGAAUCACUGGGCGUAAAGGGUGUGUAGGCGGCGUGAAAAGUCAGAUGUGAAAUCCAGAAGCUCAACUUCUGAAAUGCAUCCGAUACUGUCAUGCUGGAGGUCUGUAGAGGGGUCUGGAAUUCUCGGUGUAGCAGUGAAAUGCGUGGAUAUCGAGAGGAACACUUAAUAGCGAAAGCAAGACCCUGGGCAGAGCCUGACGCUGAAACACGAAGGCCAGGGAGCGAACGGG